RNAcentral lists this small nucleolar RNA (91 nucleotides) under Zostera marina. RNAcentral's name for it is "Small nucleolar RNA R24". It matches the Rfam family "Small nucleolar RNA R24". Rfam says of the family: snoR24 is a C/D box small nucleolar RNA which acts as a methylation guide for 18S ribosomal RNA in plants. The record is from Rfam by way of RNAcentral. Lineage: Eukaryota; Viridiplantae; Streptophyta; Magnoliopsida; Alismatales; Zosteraceae.
GCAGUUGUGAUGAAGUUGCUAUAACAUAAAAAGAGUCAUCGUGAUCAGAUGUUUCUUUGAUGAAAUAUAUCACGCUUGGCUUCUGCGCUGU